GCCACCGAAAGGCUGCAGCGUUACUCCGGCGGGCGGCAGAGGCAGAGCAGGUGAUCCCUCUGCCCUGCCCGCGUUGGGCCUCGCCCGGAGGCUGCGCCAGGCUCUGAGCCGGCACAAGCAGGACGUGCCCGCUGGGGCGGCACGAAGGUGCAGGAAGGCAGCGGCCACGAAGAUGCUCCGAGGGCCAGAGUACCUCUCCUCUGUAGGCAGGCUGGCAGGGAGCCGGCACUGUCCAGCCUGGAGAGGGACGGGCUCCCGGGAGGCCUCACUGUGUCCCCCCAGUGGCUGAAGGGGCUCUAUAGGAAAGGCAGAGAGCGAUUUCUUUACGUGGGCAGAGACUGAGAGGAGAAGGGGGAACGGUUUUAAAGCAGAAGCGGGAAGAUUAGGUUAGAUGUUAGGAAGAGCUGUGAGGAUGUCGAGACACUGGAACAGGCUGCCCAGAGAAGCUGCGGAUGUCCCGUCCCUGGAAGGCCCCAUUCCAGGCCAGGCUAGAUUGGGCCCCGAGUAUCCUGAUCUAGUGGAUGGUGUCACUGUCCAUGGCAGGGGAGUUAGAACCAGAUGAUCUUUAAGGCCCCUUCCAAGCCAAGGCAUUCUGAGUCUCCAUGAGCAGGCAAAGAGGUCACCGGUUACCGGAACAUGGAAUGGUACCAAACGGUUGCCAUGCAGAGGGGUCAGGAACCCAGCACUCCAUCGACAGCUGGCAGUUGGCAGAUUCUCUGCUGGGAAGCAGGUGCGGAGGAGCCUCUGUCUUCUCUGUCCCAGGUGGGAACAGAGGGCAAUUUGCUGGUACUUUUCAAGAAAAAUUCUCAACCAACAGUACAGGUUUGGAAGAAUAUCAUUCUCCGAACCCUAGAAAUCAGGACUUUGUAACAGCGUCCUAUCUAAGGAAUCUAAGGGAUUGAUUGCUGUAACUUCCCUGAAAUUCCCUUUUUAGUGUUUGUCCCACCAAACUUACUUUUCCAGUGGUUUUAGAGAACAAAACACCAUGAGCACAAAUCGGCAAAAGAGCCGUGGAGAAGCAGUUAAUUCCACACAAGCUUCGAAACAAAGCAGGAUGCCGCCUUCUAGUGAAGGUGGACCUUCAACAGCAGAGCCAAUAGACCUCGAAGAAAAUGGUGUGCUUUCUUUAGAUCUUGUUAUUGAUGAAAUCACAGAUCUCACCAGCGAAUCUCCUGAGCCUGAAGUCAUUGAUCUAACUGGUGAGGA
Empidonax traillii (willow flycatcher) is the source of this 1206-nucleotide long non-coding RNA. RefSeq lists it as uncharacterized. The transcript has 4 exons. NCBI's taxonomy places the organism in Eukaryota, Metazoa, Chordata, Aves, Passeriformes, Tyrannidae. The record is from RefSeq and is a predicted model, not a curated record.